Molecule: ribosomal RNA, 253 nt
Filed under: uncultured bacterium
Lineage: Bacteria
Description: partial 16S ribosomal RNA
Rfam family: Bacterial small subunit ribosomal RNA
Source: RNAcentral
UACGUAGGUGGCAAGCGUUGUUCGGAAUUACUGGGCGUAAAGCGCGCGUAGGCGGCUCUUCAAGUCAGGCGUGAAAGCCCCGGGCUUAACUCGGGAACUGCGCUUGAUACUGUCGAGCUAGAGUGUGGAAGGGGCGAUUGGAAUUCCGUGUGUAGCGGUGAAAUGCGUAGAUAUACGGAGGAACACCAGGGGCGAAGGCGGAUCGCUGGGCCAACACUGACGCUGAUGCGCGAAAGCGUGGGGAGCGAACCGG